RNAcentral lists this ribosomal RNA (748 nucleotides) under gut metagenome. RNAcentral's name for it is "bacterial SSU rRNA". It matches the Rfam family "Bacterial small subunit ribosomal RNA", at positions 775 to 1520 of the family's 1533-position model. The record is from RNAcentral.
GGAUUAGAUACCCUGGUAGUCCACGCAGUAAACGAUGAUAGCUCGUUGUCGGCGAUACACAGUCGGUGACUAAGAGAAAUCGAUAAGCUAUCCACCUGGGGAGUACGUUCGCAAGAAUGAAACUCAAAGGAAUUGACGGGGGCCCGCACAAGCGGAGGAACAUGUGGUUUAAUUCGAUGAUACGCGAGGAACCUUACCCGGGCUUGAAAGUUACUGACGAUUCUGGAAACAGGAUUUCCCUUCGGGGCAGGAAACUAGGUGCUGCAUGGUUGUCGUCAGCUCGUGCCGUGAGGUGUCGGGUUAAGUCCCAUAACGAGCGCAACCCCUACUGAUAGUUGCCAUCAGAGCGUUUGAGCGAUCAAACAAGCUGGGCACUCUAUCGGGACUGCCGGUGUAAGCCGAGAGGAAGGUGGGGAUGACGUCAAAUCAGCACGGCCCUUACGUCCGGGGCGACACACGUGUUACAAUGGUAGGUACAGAGGGCAGCCACCCAGUGAUGGGGAGCGAAUCUCGAAAGCCUAUCUCAGUUCGGAUUGGAGGCUGAAACUCGCCUCCAUGAAGUUGGAUUCGCUAGUAAUCGCGCAUCAGCCAUGGCGCGGUGAAUACGUUCCCGGGCCUUGUACACACCGCCCGUCAAGCCAUGGGAGUUGGGGGUGCCUGAAGUUCGUGACCGAAAGGAGCGACCUAGGGCAAAACCGAUGACUGGGGCUAAGUCGUAACAAGGUAGCCGUACCGGAAGGUGCGGCUG